GCGCCUGUAGCUCAGCGGAUAGAGCGCAGCCCUGCGAAGGCUGAAGUCGUGAGUUCAAAUCUCACCAGGCGCGCCA
This 76-nucleotide transfer RNA is filed under the name Chloroflexota bacterium. Its description in RNAcentral is "Chloroflexi bacterium tRNA-Arg". It matches the Rfam family "tRNA". Rfam says of the family: Transfer RNA (tRNA) molecules are approximately 80 nucleotides in length. Their secondary structure includes four short double-helical elements and three loops (D, anti-codon, and T loops). RNAcentral also lists the same sequence under 2 other names. The record is from RNAcentral. Lineage: Bacteria; Bacillati; Chloroflexota.